GCUGGGUAUAGUGGUGCACACCUGUAAUCCCAGUGACUCUGGAGGCUGUGGCAGGAGAAUCUCAAGUUCAAGGCAAGUCUGAGCAACUUUAGAAGGCCCUAAGCAACUUAAUGAGACCCUGUCUCAA
RNAcentral lists this small RNA (127 nucleotides) under Marmota monax (woodchuck). Lineage: Eukaryota; Metazoa; Chordata; Mammalia; Rodentia; Sciuridae. The record is from RNAcentral.